RNAcentral lists this ribosomal RNA (758 nucleotides) under uncultured bacterium. RNAcentral's name for it is "bacterial SSU rRNA". It matches the Rfam family "Bacterial small subunit ribosomal RNA", at positions 28 to 776 of the family's 1533-position model. The record is from RNAcentral.
GAUGAACGCUAGCUACAGGCUUAACACAUGCAAGUCGAGGGGCAUCGGGAAGAAAGCUUGCUUUCUUUGCUGGCGACCGGCGCACGGGUGAGUAACACGUAUCCAACCUGCCCUUUACUCGGGGAUAGCCUUUCGAAAGAAAGAUUAAUACCCGAUAGCAUAAUGAUUCCGCAUGGUUUCAUUAUUAAAGGAUUCCGGUAAAGGAUGGGGAUGCGUUCCAUUAGGUUGUUGGUGAGGUAACGGCUCACCAAGCCUUCGAUGGAUAGGGGUUCUGAGAGGAAGGUCCCCCACAUUGGAACUGAGACACGGUCCAAACUCCUACGGGAGGCAGCAGUGAGGAAUAUUGGUCAAUGGGCGGUAGCCUGAACCAGCCAAGUAGCGUGAAGGAUGAAGGCUCUAUGGGUCGUAAACUUCUUUUAUAUAAGAAUAAAGUGCAGUAUGUAUACUGUUUUGUAUGUAUCAUAUGAAUAAGGAUCGGCUAACUCCGUGCCAGCAGCCGCGGUAAUACGGAGGAUCCGAGCGUUAUCCGGAUUUAUUGGGUUUAAAGGGAGCGUAGGUGGACUGGUAAGUCAGUUGUGAAAGUUUGCGGCUCAACCGUAAAAUUGCAGUUGAUACUGUCAGUCUUGAGUACAGUAGAGGUGGGCGGAAUUCGUGGUGUAGCGGUGAAAUGCUUAGAUAUCACGAAGAACUCCGAUUGCGAAGGCAGCUCACUGGACUGCAACUGACACUGAUGCUCGAAAGUGUGGGUAUCAAACAGG